RNAcentral lists this ribosomal RNA (581 nucleotides) under Cellulosimicrobium sp. KNF9. RNAcentral describes it as "bacterial SSU rRNA". It matches the Rfam family "Bacterial small subunit ribosomal RNA", at positions 335 to 1533 of the family's 1533-position model. Lineage: Bacteria; Bacillati; Actinomycetota; Actinomycetes; Micrococcales; Promicromonosporaceae. The record is from RNAcentral.
UGCCUACGGGAGGCAGCAGUGGGGAAUAUUGCACAAUGGGCGAAAGCCUGAUGCAGCGACGCCGCGUGAGGGAUGAAGGCCUUCGGGUUGUAAACCUCUUUCAGCAGGGAAGAAGCGCAAGUGACGGUACCUGCAGAAGAAGCGCCGACUAACUACGUGCCAGCAGCCGCGGUAAUACGUAGGGCGCAAGCGUUGUCCGGAAUUAUUGGGCGUAAAGAGCUCGUAGGCGGUUUGUCGCGUCUGGUGUGAAAACUCGAGGCUCAACCUCGAGCUUGCAUCGGGUACGGGCAGACUAGAGUGCGGUAGGGGAGACUGGAAUUCCUGGUGUAGCGGUGGAAUGCGCAGAUAUCAGGAGGAACACCGAUGGCGAAGGCAGGUCUCUGGGCCGCAACUGACGCUGAGGAGCGAAAGCAUGGGGAGCGAACAGGAUUUGAUACCCUGGUAGUCCAUGCCGUAAACGUUGGGCACUACGCCCGUUGCUCAUUCCACGAGUUCCGUGUCGCAGCAAACGCAGUAAUGGGAUGACUAAGAAAGAUAUCUUAGAAGAAGAGCUCAAAGAGGGAAUAAUAUAUGAAUGAAGA